UUGCUUCGACAGCACAUGUAUUCAAUCUGAAAUGAUACAGAGAAGAUUAACAUGACCCCUGCACAAAUAUGACAUGUAUUUUUUUUAAAUAAGGAAAAAUUGG
Ochotona princeps (American pika) is the source of this 103-nucleotide small nuclear RNA. The record is from RefSeq and is a predicted model, not a curated record. NCBI's taxonomy places the organism in Eukaryota, Metazoa, Chordata, Mammalia, Lagomorpha, Ochotonidae.